Molecule: ribosomal RNA, 492 nt
Filed under: uncultured bacterium
Lineage: Bacteria
Description: partial 16S ribosomal RNA
Rfam family: Bacterial small subunit ribosomal RNA
Source: RNAcentral
AGUGAACGCUGGCGGUAGGCCUAACACAUGCAAGUCGAACGGCAGCACAGUAAGAGCUUGCUCUUACGGGUGGCGAGUGGCGGACGGGUGAGGAAUACGUCGGAAUCUACUUUUUCGUGGGGGAUAACGUAGGGAAACUUACGCUAAUACCGCAUACGACCUACGGGUGAAAGCAGGGGAUCUUCGGACCUUGCGCGAUUGAAUGAGCCGAUGUCGGAUUAGCUAGUUGGCGGGGUAAAGGCCCACCAAGGCGACGAUCCGUAGCUGGUCUGAGAGGAUGAUCAGCCACACUGGAACUGAGACACGGUCCAGACUCCUACGGGAGGCAGCAGCGGGGAAUAUUGGACAAUGGGCGCAAGCCUGAUCCAGCCAUACCGCGUGGGUGAAGAAGGCCUUCGGGUUGUAAAGCCCUUUUGUUGGGAAAGAAAAGCAGCAGGUUAAUACCCCGCUGUUCUGACGGUACCCAAAGAAUAAGCACCGGCUAACUUCGUG